This 441-nucleotide ribosomal RNA is filed under the name uncultured bacterium. Its description in RNAcentral is "partial 16S ribosomal RNA". It matches the Rfam family "Bacterial small subunit ribosomal RNA", at positions 338 to 795 of the family's 1533-position model. The record is from RNAcentral.
CCUACGGGAGGCAGCAGUGGGGAAUAUUGCACAAUGAGGGAAAUCCUGAUGCAGCGACUCCGCGUGAGUGAAGAAGUAUUUCGGUAUGUAAAGCUCUAUCAGCAGGGAAGAAGAAAGACGGUACCUGACUAAGCAGCCCCGGCUAACUACGUGCCAGCAGCCGCGGUAAUACGUAGGGGGCAAGCGUUGUCCGGAUUUACUGGGUGUAAAGGGAGUGUAAUCGGCUGUGCAAGUCUGAAGUGAAAGCCCAGGGCUCAACCCCGGGACCGCUUUGGAAACUGUGGAGCUAGAGUGCUGGAGAGGUAAGUGGAAUUCCUAGUGUAGCGGUGAAAUGCGUAGAUAUAAGGAGGAACACCAGUGGCGAAGGCGGCUUACUGGAUAGUAACUGACGCUGAGGCUCGAAAGCGUGGGGAGCAAACAGGAUUAGAUACCCUAGUAGUC